RNA transcript from Hevea brasiliensis (rubber tree), 2261 nucleotides. It is a transcript of the gene named calcineurin B-like protein 9, with no coding region annotated. The record is from RefSeq and is a predicted model, not a curated record. Lineage: Eukaryota; Viridiplantae; Streptophyta; Magnoliopsida; Malpighiales; Euphorbiaceae. The transcript is spliced from 11 exons.
AAAAAAAGGAGAAAAAUAAAAAAAGCAAGCGUGAGAAAAAUUUCUUGGGGAGUUCGAUGAUCAGACAGGUCAAAAAAGCAACAAAAAGUCUCUAUUAGCCGUCCAAUCAGCCCAUAUUUAGCAACCCAUACACUGUUAACUAACGCAUACAAAUCACACGCACACGCACACGCACACUCUGUCUCUCUCUUUGUCUCCGUGCUGUUGUCUAUUUAAUUUUCUUUGGUUUCUAAGAAAAGUUGGGGUUGAGGGAAGGGAGAAAUAUUGAACUUUACUUUUCAAUUUAUUACCUCUUCCAUCAUAUACACGCGGCAUUUUCUGUACGAUAUUUUUGUUGUUUAAAGGCUAGGCGCCGAGUCUAGUAUUGGUGUUUCUUUUUCUCUUCCUUCAUCAUCAGUAAAUGGGCUGCGUUAGUUCUAAAGUUGGAAGACACGUUCCUGGACAUGAGGACCCCAUAGCCCUUUCUUCACAAACAGCUUUUAGUGUAAGCGAAGUUGAAGCACUGUUUGAACUAUUCAAGAGCAUUAGCAGUUCUGUUGUUGAUGAUGGAUUAAUAAAUAAGGAGGAGUUUCAGCUGGCUCUUUUCAAGAACAGAAAGAAAGAGAAUCUCUUUGCUAAUAGAAUCUUUGAUCUCUUUGACGUUAAGCAAAAAGGAGUCAUUGAUUUUGGCGACUUUGUUAGAGCACUCAAUGUCUUUCAUCCCAAUGCUCCACGAGAAGACAAGAUAGACUUUUCAUUUAGGCUUUAUGAUUUGGAGAAUACAGGAUUUAUUGAGCGUCAAGAGGUUAAGCAAAUGUUGAUUGCACUCCUUUGUGAAUCUGAAAUGAAGUUGGCUGAUGAGACAAUUGAGAUAAUUCUUGAUAAGACUUUCUUGGAAGCUGAUUCUGACAGUGAUGGUAAGAUAGACAAAUCCGAAUGGCAGAACUUCGUCUGUAAAAACCCAUCCUUGUUAAAGAUCAUGACACUACCCUAUCUAAGGGACAUCACAACGACAUUCCCUAGUUUCGUUUUCAACUCGGAGGUGGAUGAAACUGCUACCUGAAAGGCUGAAAUUUUCGAUCGCGCAAAUAGCUUAGGAUAUGACAAACAGUUGGACCUGUGAGAGUUCAGAAUUGUAAAGAUGCAAAGCAACCGAUACCAACCUUUAAAGUACAAGCAAAGAAGUCUAGCAUGCCAUGUUGUCUUUUUCGUAUAACCUGUAACUCCAGUUGCAAUUAGCAGACUCCUUCAAUGCAAGUUUCCAUAGUUUUUGGUGCAGUGGAGGUUUGAUAAAUCACACACAAAAAAAAGUUUCAGUAGUAGCAUUGAAGUGAUUUGCAUAGUGCUGAGAUGCAGGUGAAGUAACGCUGUUAGUGACUGGGCAACAAUAGGGCAGCAUUGGUAAAUCGGUGGAGAUAAGAAUGAUGGUCCACGAAUUUAGCAACAAAAAGGGUGAUUCUGGCAUGGCUUUGUUGCAUCAGAGAUAGUGGUAGGGUAUGGAGGUCAGAGGUGGUUAUGCUGUGAAACUGUAAACUUUUGCUCCUUUCAAUUAAAACCACAUGUUCUAUUCUCACAAGAGGAAAAUAUUUGUUACUUCUUUUCUUCCCUUCUCAUGUGCAGAUGCAUAUGCACUACCAAGCAUGUGCAAAAAGGCAUGCCUUUUUCAGGAAGUGGGAAGCACUAGACAGCUAAAGUAGGACUAUAAUGGAGAGAUACCAGGUAAACAAAUCAUGAGAAGAAAGUGAGACACUUAGCAACAUGAAAUUCAGGUUCAUAGUCAAUUCCAACCUUAAGAACACAACAAAAAAUUCCUAUACUUACCAAAGGAUAAUGACACGUGCUAUUUGUAAUGCUCACCUGUCAUCACGUAUUCAGGCGCUGCAUAACCAUAUGUUCCCAUGACACGUGUAGACACAUGAGUCUUAUCUCCUUCAGGACCAUCUUUGGCAAGCCCAAAAUCAGAAAGCUUGGCAUUGUAAUCCUGGAACAGAUUCAGCAAUAUUUUAGAGAAGAGCAAGACAAGGAUGAAAAUAGUGCAUUACAUGCGUAACACUAGUCACCCACAGCAUCUAGCAGGAUGUUAGAUGUUUUAAAAUCUCGAUAUAUCACUGGCCGUUCAGCUUCCUCAUGAAGAAAUGCAAGGCCCUGUGCAGCACCGAGUGCAAUCUUCAUUCUGGUGGACCAAGGGAGAGGCAGGGACCCUGCUAUUUUAAACAUAAUUACUCUGACAGAUGUGCAAUAAAAUUGUUGACUAGCAGAAGAUAGUUUAGUCACUUAAACAA